AACGCACAUUGCGCCCGCCAGCAUUCUGGCGGGCAUGCCUGUCCGAGCGUCAUUUCCACCCUCAGGCCCUGCCUGGUGUUGGGGACCUGCAGCUGCUGCAGCCCCCCAAAGACAACGGCGUGCCCGCCGGGCCCCGAGCGUAGUAACACACCUCGCCUGGGAAGUCCGGCGGCGCCCUGCCGCAAGCCCAUAACUUCUAAGGUUGACCUCGGAUCAGGUAGGAAUACCCGCUGAACUUAA
This 240-nucleotide unclassified non-coding RNA is filed under the name uncultured Sordariomycetes. RNAcentral describes it as "sequence contains 5.8S rRNA gene, ITS2, 28S rRNA gene". Lineage: Eukaryota; Fungi; Ascomycota; Sordariomycetes. The record is from RNAcentral.